GCGAGUGUAGCUCAAUGGCAGAGCGACAGCCUUCCAAGCUGUAUAUGAGGGUUCGAUUCCCUUCACUCGCUCCA
Molecule: transfer RNA, 74 nt
Filed under: Candidatus Pacearchaeota archaeon
Lineage: Archaea; Nanobdellati
Also listed under: 2 other names
Description: tRNA-Gly
Rfam family: tRNA
About the family: Transfer RNA (tRNA) molecules are approximately 80 nucleotides in length. Their secondary structure includes four short double-helical elements and three loops (D, anti-codon, and T loops). Further hydrogen bonds mediate the characteristic L-shaped molecular structure. tRNAs have two regions of fundamental functional importance: the anti-codon, which is responsible for specific mRNA codon recognition, and the 3' end, to which the tRNAs corresponding amino acid is attached (by aminoacyl-tRNA synthetases). tRNAs cope with the degeneracy of the genetic code in two manners: having more than one tRNA (with a specific anti-codon) for a particular amino acid; and 'wobble' base-pairing, i.e. permitting non-standard base-pairing at the 3rd anti-codon position.
Source: RNAcentral